RNAcentral lists this ribosomal RNA (103 nucleotides) under uncultured bacterium. Its description in RNAcentral is "partial 16S ribosomal RNA". It matches the Rfam family "Bacterial small subunit ribosomal RNA", at positions 1380 to 1482 of the family's 1533-position model. The record is from RNAcentral.
CUUGUACACACCGCCCGUCACACCAUGGGAGCGGGUUUUACCAGAAGUAGGUAGCUUAACCGCAAGGAGGGCGCUUACCACGGUGAGAUUCAUGACUGGGGUG